GUAGGGAAUAUUGCCUAAUGUGCGAAAGCGCGAGGCAGCAACGCCGCGUGUGCGAUGAAGGCCUUCGGGUCGUAAAGCACUUUUGGAGGGGAUGAGGAAGGACAGUACCCUCUGAAUAAGCCUCGGCUAACUACGUGCCAGCAGCCGCGGUAACACGUAGGAGGCGAGCGUUAUCCGGAUUUACUGGGCGUAAAGCGCGUGCAGGCGGUUCGGUAAGUUGGAUGUGAAAGCUCCUGGCUUAACUGGGAGAGGUCGUUCAAUACUACCGGACUUGAGGAUGGGAGAGGGAGGUGGAAUUCCGGGUGUAGUGGUGAAAUGCGUAGAUAUCCGGAGGAACACCAGUGGCGAAAGCGGCCUCCUGGCCCAUUUCUGACGCUCAGACGCGAAAGCUAGGGGAGCGAACGGGAUUAGAUACCCCAGUAGUCC
Molecule: ribosomal RNA, 426 nt
Filed under: uncultured bacterium
Lineage: Bacteria
Description: bacterial SSU rRNA
Rfam family: Bacterial small subunit ribosomal RNA
Source: RNAcentral